Molecule: ribosomal RNA, 460 nt
Filed under: Streptococcus sanguinis
Lineage: Bacteria; Bacillati; Bacillota; Bacilli; Lactobacillales; Streptococcaceae
Description: bacterial SSU rRNA
Rfam family: Bacterial small subunit ribosomal RNA
Source: RNAcentral
GACGAACGCUGGCGGCGUGCCUAAUACAUGCAAGUAGAACGCUGAAGAGAGGAGCUUGCUCUUCUUGGAUGAGUUGCGAACGGGUGAGUAACGCGUAGGUAACCUGCCUGGUAGCGGGGGAUAACUAUUGGAAACGAUAGCUAAUACCGCAUGAUAUUAAUUGUCGCAUGAUAAUUAAUUGAAAGAUGCAAUUGCAUCACUACCAGAUGGACCUGCGUUGUAUUAGCUAGUUGGUGAGGUAACGGCUCACCAAGGCGACGAUACAUAGCCGACCUGAGAGGGUGAUCGGCCACACUGGGACUGAGACACGGCCCAGACUCCUACGGGAGGCAGCAGUAGGGAAUCUUCGGCAAUGGGGGGAACCCUGACCGAGCAACGCCGCGUGAGUGAAGAAGGUUUUCGGAUCGUAAAGCUCUGUUGUAAGAGAAGAACGGGUGUGAGAGUGGAAAGUUCACACUGU